RNAcentral lists this non-coding RNA (670 nucleotides) under Pan troglodytes (chimpanzee). Lineage: Eukaryota; Metazoa; Chordata; Mammalia; Primates; Hominidae. The record is from RNAcentral.
GAUGCCUGAAACUGCAAUAGUACCGAACUCUGUAUAUACUAUGUUUUUCCCUAUACAUACAUAUCUAUGAUAAAGUUUAAUUUAUAAACUAGGCACAGUAAUAGAGUAACACAAUAAUAAAAUAGAACAAUUAUAACAAUACGCCAGCGUCGCUUCUCUUCUGCUUUGGGGCCACUAUUCAUUCAAGUAAGGGUGACUUGAACCCAAGCACCAUAAUACCACUGCAGUCGAGCUGUUAACCAAGACGAAGUGACUAACGGGCAGGCCGUGUGGCUGAUUCACAUCCCAGGUGGGACGGAGCAGGAUGUGUAAGAUUUCAUUACGCUACUCAAAACGGCAUGCAACUUAACACUUAUAAAAUAUUUAUUUCUGGAAUUUUCCAUUUAAUAUUUUCAGACUGCAGUUGACAGCAGAUAACUGAAAGCUCGGAAAGCGAAACCGUGGAUAAGCAGGGGAACUGUGGCAUCCCAUUUAAAAUUGCUUCUGAAGAGAAGCAUGAGGUUACAUCUGUAAUCUCCCUGCAGCAGAGUCAACUGCAUAAGAAACCAAAAGACACACCUGCUCCAUGCCAGGUUAGUACCCACCCAUCACCCUCAUAAUUUUGCCAAAACUUUAGAUAUGUUUGUGAGUAUUAGCCAAGUAUGUGUAUUAAAAAUCUGUCUUCCCAGAA